UUACGGGGCCAGGGACGUUGGAGGGGUUUCCACGUGACUCCACCUCGAACACCGCUACAGAGCGUAUCUGGCUGGGUUGGGCACACACCGUCGCGGCGGCCCCUGAUGGCAUCCACAAAGGUCCAAGACCCUCCUAAGCUCCCAGCCGUAGCAGAACUACGUAUUUCAGCACCCGAACGACUAACAACCCAGCCGGCAUCUGCAGCGUAUAUCCAACGCAAUCAAACUUCACUCUGACAAGUAACUUCCUAUACACAACCACGCUGUCCUUUCGCCCGGACCAGCCCCGCACUCUUUCCGCCCGCAACCUAGCGGUCGCCGGAUCAGCAGAGCCUGCGGACUCUUCGGAGGCUGGUCUUCGUUGUGCUGCCCAAGGCGGAAGUUUACUUCCAGUAACUUCUACCUUCUCUCUUUAUAUCCUCCUCCAUGGCGUGGCUCGCCCAACCAUCGCUCGCCACGUCACUCACACAGCUGUGCCUUGUUUCAGCGAGUGCGGGGAUUCCCGGGGAACCCGGAAGUGCCGGUGUCUGUACAAACCGGUCCGGGCGGAACCUCUUCACUCUCCUUUUGGUUCCGCCCCGCAUAGUCACUCCGUGACAACUGUUUGCAUUUUUUCUCUCCUCAAUGUUCAAUACCCUUUUGCCAUUAAGCACACAGUGACUUUAAUUUAUAAAAUAUAUGCUUAAGUUUUAAUACCUGUACAAAACAAAUGUACAAUCAACUUGUGUAAAUUGUCAUUCUAUUUAAUAGAUUGUUCAUGAAUUGUCUUUAAAUGCAUUGUGAUUUCGGUAACACUUUACAAUAAGGUUCAUUAGUUAACAUUAGUUAAUGUAUUAACUAACUUGAACAAACCAUGAGCAAUACAUUUGUUACAGUAUUUAUUCAUCUUUGUUAAUGUUAGUUAAUUCAAAUUUAAGCUUUAAUUGCUUGUUCAUGUUAGUUCAGAG
Misgurnus anguillicaudatus (oriental weatherfish) is the source of this 947-nucleotide non-coding RNA. The record is from RefSeq and is a predicted model, not a curated record. Lineage: Eukaryota; Metazoa; Chordata; Actinopteri; Cypriniformes; Cobitidae.